GGAAAAGAGUACUUGUUGGUCAUGGAUGAUGUGUGGAACGAAAGCCAUGAGAAAUGGAUUGAUCUAAAAAGAUUUUUUAAUGGGUGGUGCCAAGGGAAGUAAGAUUUUGGUGACGACCCGUAAUCUUCAAGUUGCGCAAGCUUCUGACACAGUUUGGUUCCAUCACUUAAAAGAACUUGACAAGGACAACUCUUGGGUGUUGUUUCGAAA
RNAcentral lists this unclassified non-coding RNA (210 nucleotides) under Hevea brasiliensis (rubber tree). Lineage: Eukaryota; Viridiplantae; Streptophyta; Magnoliopsida; Malpighiales; Euphorbiaceae. The record is from RNAcentral.